AUUGAACGCUGGCGGCAGGCCUAACACAUGCAAGUCGAGCGGUAGCACAGAGAGCUUGCUCUCGGGUGACGAGCGGCGGACGGGUGAGUAAUGUCUGGGAAACUGCCUGAUGGAGGGGGAUAACUACUGGAAACGGUAGCUAAUACCGCAUAACGUCGCAAGACCAAAGAGGGGGACCUUCGGGCCUCUUGCCAUCAGAUGUGCCCAGAUGGGAUUAGCUAGUAGGUGGGGUAACGGCUCACCUAGGCGACGAUCCCUAGCUGGUCUGAGAGGAUGACCAGCCACACUGGAACUGAGACACGGGCCAGACUCCUACGGGAGGCAGCAGUGGGGAAUAUUGCACAAUGGGCGCAAGCCUGAUGCAGCCAUGCCGCGUGUAUGAAGAAGGCCUUCGGGUUGUAAAGUACUUUCAGCGGGGAGGAAGGCGAUAAGGUUAAUAACCUUGUCGAUUGACGUUACCCGCAGAAGAAGCACCGGCUAACUCCGUGCCAGCCGCCGCAGUAA
Molecule: ribosomal RNA, 504 nt
Filed under: uncultured bacterium
Lineage: Bacteria
Description: partial 16S ribosomal RNA
Rfam family: Bacterial small subunit ribosomal RNA
Source: RNAcentral